GGAGCUCAUUUUCACGGAACAGGGAAGAGGGGAUUGGGAGAUGGGAUUGGUGGCACCACACUAUAGAGUCUGCUCCGACCUGAAAGGGAGGAGAGGCAUCCCCAAACACUGGGAACUAAGAGGCACACAGAGAAGCAGACCUGUGGGAAGAAGAUGGAGAAACCAUCUCCAAUGUCAUUGCCAUGUUUCCAGGAGCCAACGCUCACAUUCACCCUCUGGGAUCCCCUUUCCUAGCAUGGAGGAUUCCCGCAGGCUGAAUCAAUGGUGGGGGAAGCUGUGGGAGCUUGAAGAGGAAGAAAGGAAGCAGCUGACCUGCGGAUGGCUGUGACAGGCUAAUCUCCCAGCAGAGAAGAGUUUUGUAACAGCUAAAUCACAGACCAGGCUAGACAAGGCUGGACAUGCACCCUGUCUUAGUCCAUUUUUCCUGGCUAUCACAAAAUAACUGAGGCUGGGUACUCUAUAAAGAAAAGAGGUUUAUUGAGUUCACAGUUUGGGAGGCUGAAAGUUCAAACAGCAAUGACACCAGCUCUGGCAAAAGACCCCUGGACUCAAUCAGAUCCUAGCAGAUGGCAUCACAGCAAGAGGAAAAGAUCACAUGGUGAGAGAAGAAGCCAGAACCCAGGGAGGACCAUUUUUAACAACCUGUUCUCAUGGAACUACUUAAUUCCUUCCAAGGACAGCAGCCCCGAUGAACUAAGCAUCUAGUACUCAGCCCACCUCCAAAGGGUUCCGGACCCACAUUGGUCCAUCUCAACAUGUCACCCUGGGGAUGGAGCUGCCAGUACACGAGCCCUUGGGAAACACAUGGAGAUCAAGUCCAGACAGAGCAUGCUCCAGCUCGAGUCUCUCGUGUCUCAGGUCCAGCUUCUUGGCCUUCCUGGGCACCUCCAAAUAAACUACUUGCACAAGACUCCUUCUCUUGGGGACUGCUUCUAUGUGGACCCAAACCGAGGCAGGCCUCCAUUCUCCUCGGAGACAUUGCUUUGUUCUCAAUCAUCAUUUGCUGCUCUCAUGAUCCUCUCUGAGAGCCAGGGCUGUCCUUCGGUCACGACCUGCACAGGGCCAGUUGAACAUGGUCUUGAAGUAUCUCCGGCCAAAGGACUGCCACCCUCCUACCCCGUCUUACCCUGGACAGAAACAAAAAAAAUAAACGCUUUUGUCUUUGAGCCUCGAGAGCAC
RNAcentral lists this long non-coding RNA (1179 nucleotides) under Marmota monax (woodchuck). Lineage: Eukaryota; Metazoa; Chordata; Mammalia; Rodentia; Sciuridae. The record is from RNAcentral.